AGCGUACACGGUGGAUGCCCUGGCAGUCAGAGGCGAUGAAGGACGUGCUAAUCUGCGAUAAGCGUCGGUAAGGUGAUAUGAACCGUUAUAACCGGCGAUUUCCGAAUGGGGAAACCCAGUGUGAUUCGUCACACUAUCAUUACGUGAAUACAUAGCGUAAUGAAGCGAACCGGGGGAACUGAAACAUCUAAGUACCCCGAGGAAAAGAAAUCAACCGAGAUUCCCCCAGUAGCGGCGAGCGAACGGGGAGCAGCCCAGAGUCUGAAUCAGCUUGUGUGUUAGUGGAACGGUCUGGAAAGUCCGACGGUACAGGGUGAUAGUCCCGUACACCAAAAUGCACAGGUUGUGAACUCGAAGAGUAGGGCGGGACACGUGGUAUCCUGUCUGAAUAUGGGGGGACCAUCCUCCAAGGCUAAAUACUCCUGACUGACCGAUAGUGAACCAGUACCGUGAGGGAAAGGCGAAAAGAACCCCGGCGAGGGGAGUGAAAAAGAACCUGAAACCGUGUACGUACAAGCAGUGGGAGCACCUUCGGGUGUGACUGCGUACCUUUUGUAUAAUGGGUCAGCGACUUAUAUUCUGUAGCAAGGUUAACCGUAUAGGGGAGCCGAAGGGAAACCGAGUCUUAACUGGGCGUUAAGUUGCAGGGUAUAGACCCGAAACCCGGUGAUCUAGCCAUGGGCAGGUUGAAGGUUGGGUAACACUAACUGGAGGACCGAACCGACUAAUGUUGAAAAAUUAGCGGAUGACUUGUGGCUGGGGGUGAAAGGCCAAUCAAACCGGGAGAUAGCUGGUUCUCCCCGAAAGCUAUUUAGGUAGCGCCUCGUGAACUCAUCUUCGGGGGUAGAGCACUGUUUCGGCUAGGGGGUCAUCCCGACUUACCAACCCGAUGCAAACUGCGAAUACCGAAGAAUGUUAUCACGGGAGACACACGGCGGGUGCUAACGUCCGUCGUGAAGAGGGAAACAACCCAGACCGCCAGCUAAGGUCCCAAAGUCAUGGUUAAGUGGGAAACGAUGUGGGAAGGCACAGACAGCCAGGAUGUUGGCUUAGAAGCAGCCAUCAUUUAAAGAAAGCGUAAUAGCUCACUGGUCGAGUCGGCCUGCGCGGAAGAUGUAACGGGGCUAAACCAUGCACCGAAGCUGCGGCAGCGACACUAUGUGUUGUUGGGUAGGGGAGCGUUCUGUAAGCCGUUGAAGGUGUGUCGUGAGGCAUGCUGGAGGUAUCAGAAGUGCGAAUGCUGACAUAAGUAACGAUAAUGCGGGUGAAAAACCCGCACGCCGGAAGACCAAGGGUUCCUGUCCAACGUUAAUCGGGGCAGGGUGAGUCGACCCCUAAGGCGAGGCCGAAAGGCGUAGUCGAUGGGAAACAGGUUAAUAUUCCUGUACUUGGUGUUACUGCGAAGGGGGGACGGAGAAGGCUAUGUUGGCCGGGCGACGGUUGUCCCGGUUUAAGCAUGUAGGCGGAGGUUCCAGGUAAAUCCGGUACCUUUUAACGCUGAGGUGUGAUGACGAGGCACUACGGUGCUGAAGUGACAAAUGCCCUGCUUCCAGGAAAAGCCUCUAAGCAUCAGGUAACACGAAAUCGUACCCCAAACCGACACAGGUGGUCAGGUAGAGAAUACCAAGGCGCUUGAGAGAACUCGGGUGAAGGAACUAGGCAAAAUGGUGCCGUAACUUCGGGAGAAGGCACGCUGAUAUGUAGGUGAAGCGGUUUACCCGUGGAGCUGAAAUCAGUCGAAGAUACCAGCUGGCUGCAACUGUUUAUUAAAAACACAGCACUGUGCAAACACGAAAGUGGACGUAUACGGUGUGACGCCUGCCCGGUGCCGGAAGGUUAAUUGAUGGGGUUAUCCGUAAGGAGAAGCUCUUGAUCGAAGCCCCGGUAAACGGCGGCCGUAACUAUAACGGUCCUAAGGUAGCGAAAUUCCUUGUCGGGUAAGUUCCGACCUGCACGAAUGGCGUAAUGAUGGCCAGGCUGUCUCCACCCGAGACUCAGUGAAAUUGAACUCGCUGUGAAGAUGCAGUGUACCCGCGGCAAGACGGAAAGACCCCGUGAACCUUUACUAUAGCUUGACACUGAACACUGGUCCUUGAUGUGUAGGAUAGGUGGGAGGCUUUGAAGCGUGGACGCCAGUCUGCGUGGAGCCAACCUUGAAAUACCACCCUUUAAUGGCUGGUGUUCUAACGUUGACCCGUGAUCCGGGUUGCGGACAGUGUCUGGUGGGUAGUUUGACUGGGGCGGUCUCCUCCUAAAGAGUAACGGAGGAGCACGAAGGUUAGCUAAUCCUGGUCGGACAUCAGGAGGUUAGUGCAAAGGCAUAAGCUAGCUUGACUGCGAGAGUGACGGCUCGAGCAGGUGCGAAAGCAGGUCUUAGUGAUCCGGUGGUUCUGAAUGGAAGGGCCAUCGCUCAACGGAUAAAAGGUACUCCGGGGAUAACAGGCUGAUACCGCCCAAGAGUUCAUAUCGACGGCGGUGUUUGGCACCUCGAUGUCGGCUCAUCACAUCCUGGGGCUGAAGUAGGUCCCAAGGGUAUGGCUGUUCGCCAUUUAAAGUGGUACGCGAGCUGGGUUUAGAACGUCGUGAGACAGUUCGGUCCCUAUCUGCCGUGGGCGCUGGAGAAUUGAGGGGGGCUGCUCCUAGUACGAGAGGACCGGAGUGGACGCAUCACUGGUGUUCGGGUUGUCAUGCCAAUGGCACUGCCCGGUAGCUAAAUGCGGAAGAGAUAAGUGCUGAAAGCAUCUAAGCACGAAACUUGCCCCGAGAUGAGUUCU
Molecule: ribosomal RNA, 2774 nt
Filed under: Citrobacter freundii
Lineage: Bacteria; Pseudomonadati; Pseudomonadota; Gammaproteobacteria; Enterobacterales; Enterobacteriaceae
Description: bacterial LSU rRNA
Rfam family: Bacterial large subunit ribosomal RNA
Source: RNAcentral